CGGGGCUUGCUGAAACUGGUAGCCAGAGCGGACUUAAAAUCCGUUGGGCUUUUGCCCGUGCGGGUUCGAGUCCCGCAGCCCCGACCA
This 87-nucleotide transfer RNA is filed under the name Alphaproteobacteria bacterium. RNAcentral's name for it is "tRNA-Leu". It matches the Rfam family "tRNA". From Rfam's summary of the family: Transfer RNA (tRNA) molecules are approximately 80 nucleotides in length. Their secondary structure includes four short double-helical elements and three loops (D, anti-codon, and T loops). Lineage: Bacteria; Pseudomonadati; Pseudomonadota; Alphaproteobacteria. The record is from RNAcentral.